AUUUUCAACUAACUAUACACGUUGGCAGACACAUCACUUCAUCACUUCCCUGAAGAAGAGAAGCUGCAUGCCGAAUAUUUGCAAAGAGAUUGCUUUGUCCUGAAUUUCACUCUAGAAAUUGCAGAAACCAAGACUUCCACGAUGUCUAUUAAACAGAUGGUAUACGGCUUCAGGAGUCUCGAAUCCCACGGGCGUACGGCUUCAGGAGUCUCGAAUCCCACGGGCGUACGGCUUCAGGAGUCUCGAAUCCCACGGGCGUACGGCUUCAGGAGUCUCGAAUCCCACGGGCGUACGGCUUCAGGAGUCUCGAAUCCCACGGGCGUACGGCUUCAGGAGUCUCGAAUCCCACGGGCGUACGGCUUCAGGAGUCUCGAAUCCCACGGGCGUACGGCUUCAGGAGUCUCGAAUCCCACGGGCGUACGGCUUCAGGAGUCUCGAAUCCCACGGGCGUACGGCUUCAGGAGUCUCGAAUCCCACGGGCGUACGGCUUCAGGAGUCUCGAAUCCCACGGGCGUACGGCUUCAGGAGUCUCGAAUCCCACGGGUGUACGGCUUCAGGAGUCUUGAGGGGCUCCUUUGAGUUGAGAGUUGUGGAUCCAAGUCUCAGAGCACUGAAGUUUUGUGGCAGAGAAGAACUUGUUAUGGUCCCUUCCAAUAGAGUUCAAGGACAGUCUUUCUCUGGUGUCAUUUCCAAAGGACUCAAUCGCUGAGUUUUGGACUCUGAGAAAUCUAGUUGUCAUCUGCUGGUGGGUCAUGAAGGCCCCCCCUUUUUUUCUUUUUCUUUUUCUUUUUCUUUUUUUUUUUGAGACAGAGUCUCACUUGAUCACCCAGGCUAGAGUGCAGUGGCGUGAUCUUGACUCACUGCAACUUCUGCCACCCAGGUUCAAGCAAUUCUCCUGCCUCAGCCUCCCAAGUAGCUGGGAUUACAGGCGCCUGCCACCACACCUGGCUAAUUUUUGUAUUUUUAGUAGAGACGGGAUUUCAUCAUCUUGGCCAGGCUGGUCUUGAACUCCUGACCUCGUGAUCCGCCUGCCUCAGCCUCCCAAAGUGCUGGGAUUAUAGGUGUGAGCCACCGCGCCCGGCCUGCCUUUUUUUUUUUUUUUGUUAACCUAGUGAAAGUAUGCUUUGGCAUAAUGCAUUAAAGCCUUGCACUACUGAAUCAUAGCAGAGUUUAUAAGAGUAGAAGAUACAUGAGGUUCUAUUCUUAGGGGCAUAGGCCUUCCAGUGACUGUUUCUUUUCUUUCUUUCUUUUUUUUUUGAGAUGGAGUCUCGCUCUGUCGCCAGGACUGGAGUGCAGUGACACGAUCCCGGCUCACUGCAACCUCCACCUCCCAGGUUCAAGCAAUUCUCCUUCCUCAGCCUCCCGAGUAGCUGGGACUACAGGCGCGUGCCAUGACACCCAGCUAAUUUUUUAUUUUUAAUAGAGAUGGGGUUGAAACCCCCAUGUUGGCCAGGCUGGUCUCAAACUCCUGACCUCAGGUGUUCUGCCCUCCUCGGCCUCCCAAAGUGCUGGGAUUACAGGCAUGAGCCACCAUGCCCGGCCCAGUGACUGUUUCAUAAGGGGUCAAGUUACAUUUUCCACUGAGAGGGGAAUCUGAUUGCCAUCAAGGCCAAUGGUAAUACUGUUAGCCAAGGCAAUCCAGUCAAUUCACUUAACUUUGCCAGUUUCAGUUCCAAGAUGCCAUUUGUCCUUUCAACCUUUCCAGAAGACUAAAGGUGAUAGCAACAAUGGUAAUGCCAUUGUGUUUGUAACACUUUAUUUUAUUGCUUUAUAACUUUCCGAGUAAAAUUGGUAUCUCUGUC
Molecule: long non-coding RNA, 1802 nt
Filed under: Homo sapiens (human)
Lineage: Eukaryota; Metazoa; Chordata; Mammalia; Primates; Hominidae
Description: non-protein coding lnc-EFCAB9-30:1
Source: RNAcentral